CAGCAGCCGCGGUAAUACGAGUGCCCCAAGCGUUACCCGGAUUUAUUGGGCGUAAAGCGUGUGUAGGCGGUUUAUUAAGUCAAUGGUUAAAUCCCUCGGCUCAACUGAGGACCAGCCAUUGAAACUGGUAAACUAGAGUAUGGAAGAGGCAAACGGAAUUGCUGGUGUAGGGGUCAAAUCCGUUAAUAUCAGCAGGAACACCAAAUGCGAAGGCAGUUUGCUAGGACAUUACUGACGCUAAAACACGAAAGCGUGGGGAGCGAAGCGGAUUAGAUACCCGCGUAGUCCACGCCGUAAACGAUGGAUACUAGACAUUGGGGGUAUCGACCCCUUCAGUGUCGUUCAAAAAAGCUAACGCGUUAAGUAUCCCGCCUGGGGAGUACGGCCGCAAGGCUAAAACUCAAAGGAAUUGACGGGGACUCGCACAAGCGGUGGAGCACGUGGUUUAAUUCGAUAGUAAGCGGAGAACCUUACCAGGGGUUGACAUAUAGCUGCAAGCCUUAAGAAAUUAAGGCCCCCUUCGAGGGUGCUAUACAGGUGCUGCAUGGUUGUCGUCAGCUCGUGCCGUGAGGUGUACGGUUAAGUCCGAUAACGAGCGCAACCCUCAUCCUAAUUUAUACUUUAUUAGGAAACUGCCUUGGAUAACAAGGAGGAAGGUGGGGAUGACGUCAAAUCAGCAUGGCUCUUACAUCCUGGGCAACACACAUGCUACAAUGGCUAGUACAAAGGGUCGCCAAAUCGUAAGACGGAGCUAAUCCUAUAAAAGCUAGUCUCAGUUCGGAUUGAGGUCUGCAACUCGACCUCAUGAAGCUGGAAUCGCUAGUAACCGUGGAUCAGAACGCCACGGUGAAUACGUUCUCGAGUCUUGUACACACCGCCCGUCAUGUCAAGAGAGUCGGUAAUGCCCGAAUGUCGUUGUAGUACGGCAGAAGGUAGGAUCGGCAAUAGGGGCAAAGUCGUAACAAGGUACCGUA
RNAcentral lists this ribosomal RNA (974 nucleotides) under uncultured Microgenomates group bacterium. RNAcentral's name for it is "bacterial SSU rRNA". It matches the Rfam family "Bacterial small subunit ribosomal RNA", at positions 509 to 1504 of the family's 1533-position model. The record is from RNAcentral.